CCAAAUUGAUUUUAAAUUCAUAAAGGCCUAGGUCUUGAAAUUUACCAAAUGGACGGUCUAAAUUUAUUGUUAGAGGGGACUCAUAUUGACCAUAUAUAGGGCACAUAGAUAGAUGUCGAACGUUUCCCUAAGUCUAUCAUAGUUUGAAGCACAAGGUGGCUUUUAUCAAGGAGAGGACCGGCUCGUUCAGUUGAAGUGGCCGAGUGCACACAUUCGGUAUUCAAGCUUCGAUGCUCCAGCCCCUCAAUUGACUCGGUUUCUUCGGUUGGUUCAGCCCAUUAUGCCGAUCCAACAUCCGCGCAGCUGCAACGUGUGUAAAUUAAUUUUUCUUUUUUGACAUUGAUUAUUAUGAUGAAGAGAGUAUCAUACAAAUACCACAAAUAUGGUUUUACUAGAAGUAGGUAACUAUACAAUCAUCUUUAUCGAGUUUUACCCAAAGGGGUAACUGUACUAUAUGCUCCCUUGGGAAUAUGCCAUGUGGGCUCUACGAUCAAAUGAAUGUGCUAUCCACGGCCAUUUUGCAAUUAACUAAAGGGUGCAGUUGGUAUAAGGUAGAGGAUCUAAACAAUCAAGGUAAAGCGCACUUUCAAAUAGUGUCAAGAAAUGUUCUUUCAAUAUUAGAAAUCUAUGCGAAAGACUUCAAAUAUAUUUUCAGCUCUAAUUAUAAAAUUUAAAGCUUCAAAAAUAGUGUAGAUAGAGCAGAUCUAUGAAAAGUUAAAAAUCUUGAAAAUUAACGGUCCAAAAAUGCAUUACAAGAUGCACUAUUUUCAAACUUGAAAUCUAAUUUUUUCUCAUAUCCAUGCAUCUUUAGGUUGAGAUGAUCAAUUCGAAGAUAUUUGGGCACUAAAACGACAUAUUCGAGUGAAAUUUUUGAGGUGCCCCCUAAUUUGAUUGUUUAGAGCCUCACACUUACACAAACUUUUUCCUUAUUAUCUUGGCAAUUUAUUAAGGGGCCGGUUUGUAUAGAGCCUAGGCUCUAAACAAUCAAAUUAGAGCCUACUUUCAAAUACUGUCGAGAAAUGUGGUUUUACUACUGGAAAUCCUUGUGUUAGCCUUAAAAUAUAUUUUCAUAUUUAUUUAUAAAGUUUAAAGCUUAAAAAAGAGUGUAGAUCGAUAGAUCUAUGAAAACUUGAAAAUUGACGGUCCAAAAAUGCAUUACAAAAUGUACUAAUUCCAAAACAUGAAAUCCAAUUUUUUCUCAUGUCUAUGCAUCUUGAUGUCAAGAUGAUCAAUUUGAAGAUUUUUGAACAUCAAAACAAAAUCUUCUAAUGAAAUUUUUGAGGUAGGCUCAAAUUUGACCGUUUAGAGCCACAACUCUAUAUAAACUUUUCCCAUUUGUUAAUUGUAUAAAAUGCUCCAUGGAAUCUACUAAUAUCUCAAUUAACUACAACCAAGAUUGAACAAAGUGGAUAGAUGAUUAGGAUCAGCCACCCCAAAAAUCGUCUCGGAUUGGUGGAUCGAAGAAUCGGCUUGAUCAGCUGGUUUCAGCUUUAAAUUUUUUUCAAAAAUCACUAUAAUUUCUCAAAAUUUUAGUCUUUUAGGUUUCUAAAGAAACAAUGGCAAUUGCAUUAUUUUUCAUUAUUGUGUCAAAACCUGUAUCAUGCUUAGUGUUUUUUCUAUUAAAUUUAUUUUAUAGUCAAAAUAAAGUUUAAAAUGCAACAUGACAAUAAAAUGAGUAUCACUAACUCAAUUUAUUUUUAUUUAUUUUUGUAUUAACUUAGAAGUUUUGAUUUUUAAAAAAACUUUAUAAAACAAAUUUAGUGGAAGAUAUUGUUAGUAGCAAGAGAUAGAGGAGUUGUUAGUGGAGAGAUAUAGAAAUACCAAGGUUGGGGGGGAAGGGGGAGGAGGAGAGAUAGAGACAGAGAGAGAAGGGGACGCCACGGGGAUGAGAAAGAGAGACGUGAAAAACUUAUAUUAAUAAGUUGAAAACCUAGUGUUAAGAAGAAUAAGCAUAGGAGGGGAAGAGAAAAGAAUAGUCCCACAUCGGGACUCGAGCGAAACAUUUUCCUUGCAGCACAAGCAUUAGCUCGCAUGUUAGUGGCAACUAAAGCUUCCCAUGAAAGCGAGCUCAAAUUUUUUUUAGAGUUUUAAAUUGGCCCUCUACCACUAAAAAAUAGUUUUAAAAAGUUUUAAAUUCAUAGCGUCGGCCCUCCACUACUAAAGUGUUUCAAAAAUUAAAUAAUAUAAAUUUUAGAAAACAUAAAUCGGUUGAGUUAAAUUAAAUUAGAGAAUUUUUUUUUAAAAGGCUAAUGAUAUAUUAAAAAAUAAAUGAACUGGUUGACAUCAGAACCAACGAAACAGGUAUGGAUUGGCUCGAAUUAGCCGGUUCCCGAUCAAUUAUGGGAAUCGGAUUGCCCCCUCCUGUUUCUAAUCCAGACAACUCCAAUCUAAAUCAACAGUUUGUAAAACAACAAAAAAAGACGAAAGAAGAGUACAUAAUGCACUGAGACUUGAGGGGAACGCAUUCUCUCUCUCUCCUCUGCAAAUAAAGCAUAUGAGAAGAACGUCAUAAAACUAGUCCAUGAAGAAACAAAUGUAGAUGCAAUCAAAUGAAGCGCGAGAAGAUCAAACAAUGUACAAUAUGCACGCAACACUGAAUAAAAAAAAAAACCAGAAGAAGAACUACAGAGAGUGAGGAGAGAGACCCAAUUCACCCCCUGUAACCAAAGCAGUCAUGUAACGCAGAGACCAUGUUUCUCCUCUUUUCAUCUUCUCCGCUCCCUCUAUUUCCAUUGUUUCUCUGUUUUUCUCUGGGCACACAAACCCUAUUCAUCUCUUAUAUAUGGCUUGGCAAAUAAUACACCCGUAGAAAUCUGACUCUCCACCAAACAAAAACAAGCUAUGAAUUCAAUUUUUC
RNAcentral lists this long non-coding RNA (2857 nucleotides) under Amborella trichopoda. RNAcentral's name for it is "long non-coding RNA (ATRI_LNC003147)". Lineage: Eukaryota; Viridiplantae; Streptophyta; Magnoliopsida; Amborellales; Amborellaceae. The record is from RNAcentral.